This 352-nucleotide ribosomal RNA is filed under the name Escherichia coli. RNAcentral describes it as "bacterial SSU rRNA". It matches the Rfam family "Bacterial small subunit ribosomal RNA", at positions 1 to 350 of the family's 1533-position model. Lineage: Bacteria; Pseudomonadati; Pseudomonadota; Gammaproteobacteria; Enterobacterales; Enterobacteriaceae. The record is from RNAcentral.
AAAUUGAAGAGUUUGAUCAUGGCUCAGAUUGAACGCUGGCGGCAGGCCUAACACAUGCAAGUCGAACGGUAACAGGAAGCGCUUGCUGCUUCGCUGACGAGUGGCGGACGGGUGAGUAAUGUCUGGGAAACUGCCUGAUGGAGGGGGAUAACUACUGGAAACGGUAGCUAAUACCGCAUAACGUCGCAAGACCAAAGAGGGGGACCUUCGGGCCUCUUGCCAUCGGAUGUGCCCAGAUGGGAUUAGCUUGUUGGUGGGGUAACGGCUCACCAAGGCGACGAUCCCUAGCUGGUCUGAGAGGAUGACCAGCCACACUGGAACUGAGACACGGUCCAGACUCCUACGGGAGGCA